This 73-nucleotide transfer RNA is filed under the name Canis lupus familiaris (dog). It matches the Rfam family "tRNA". Rfam says of the family: Transfer RNA (tRNA) molecules are approximately 80 nucleotides in length. Their secondary structure includes four short double-helical elements and three loops (D, anti-codon, and T loops). RNAcentral also lists the same sequence under 1 other name. Lineage: Eukaryota; Metazoa; Chordata; Mammalia; Carnivora; Canidae. The record is from Rfam by way of RNAcentral.
CUCUGGCUGGCUCAGUCAGUGGAGCAUGAGACUCUUGAUCUCAGGGUUGUGAGUUCAAGCCCCCUGUUGGACA